CCAGCCCGCUCAGAAACUUAAAGGAAUUGAGGGGGCCCGCACAAGCGGUGGAGCAUGUGGUUUAAUUCGAUGAUACGCGAGGAACCUUACCUGGGCUCAAAUGUAUGUUGACGUAUUCUGAAAGGGAUACUUCUUCGGACAAUAUACAAGGUGCUGCAUGGUUGUCGUCAGCUCGUGCCGUGAGGUGUCGGGUUAAGUCCCAUAACGAGCGCAACCCCUACCUUUAGUUGCCAUCAGGUUAAGCUGGGGACUCUAAAGGAACUGCCUACGCAAGUAGUGAGGAAGGCGGGGAUGACGUCAAAUCAGCACGGCCCUUACGUCCAGGGCUACACACGUGCUACAAUGGCCGAUACAGAGGGCAGCUACCUGGUGACAGGAUGCAAAUCUCCAAAGUCGGUCUCAGUUCGGAUCGGAGUCUGCAACCCGACUCCGUGAAGUUGGAUUCGCUAGUAAUCGCGCAUCAGCCAUGGCGCGGUGAAUACGUUCCCGGGCCUU
This 495-nucleotide ribosomal RNA is filed under the name uncultured Sphingobacteriales bacterium. RNAcentral describes it as "bacterial SSU rRNA". It matches the Rfam family "Bacterial small subunit ribosomal RNA", at positions 903 to 1382 of the family's 1533-position model. The record is from RNAcentral. Lineage: Bacteria; Pseudomonadati; Bacteroidota; Sphingobacteriia; Sphingobacteriales.